UUCUAGUUACUUGACAAUUUGUUUCUGAUUUAAACAAACAAGACUUAGUUUAAUAAAAGAAAGAGUAACACAAAACGGUUCCCAGGUUGUUACGGCUUCUUCUGCAAGCAGAGAGGCAGUUGUUAAUGACAAUUCCAGAUACCAAAAGACACAUUUUUUUUAUUUUUAUUUUUUUUUAUUUUAUUUUUUUUUACUUCAAAGUUUUGUCCUCUUAGGCAGUCUGAGCAGCGAGUGAUCCCGAGUGCAGCCAACAAAACAGAUAGCAAUGUACAGAGAGCAAAGAAGCAAGCCCGUGCGCGAGGCACGCGUGUUUACGUUAAUGUGCGUAGUCCUGUGACAACAUGAUUCAACACACACCCCUUGGCAUCUUUAAAAAAAAACGGUCUGAACUUCGAAAGGAAAACUUCGUGCUGCUAAAACAUAGGUUUUGAAGACAAAUAGAUGCUUUGCUGCCUCACUUUCAUAGCCAAACACCAACAGACACAAUCUUCCUUGCCCCCAAAGAGUGAAGUCCCCCCUCUCUUCCUUAUGUUUCAAAGGGAACUUUGAAGACUGUGAAUCCAGGUUCCGUUGGCCACCUUCUGGGCUUCUUCCCCAGUGCGGAAGCCAUUCAUCGACUUUGCAAAAGACUGGAGCAUUCCAAGAUCUGAAACUUUUCAUUUUUCUUUUUCUUUUUUUUUUUUCUUUUUUCUUUUUUCUUUUCUUUCUUUUUUUUUUAAGCCGGGACUAUUUUAAUGAAUUUUAUUUUAAUGAAUUUGUUUUUAGUUAAAGAGUAGAUCCUGAACUGUUGUACAUAUUUCUAACUAGGCUGAUGCACAGUGCAAAUUCCUUUUUAAUUUUUUAAAAGUAGAAAUACUAAAAGAAUACCAUCUUAACUAUUCAUAUCAGUAUCCAGUUGUAGCAUAAGGUGUCAAAAACAAGUACACAAAACACUUACUGUUUUAAAUACCUAUUUCCUUUUAACAAGAAUUCUUGUAUCCUCCCUGUGUUUUGAGAUGAACACUUUUAAAUUUUAAAGUUGUACAGUUUUUUUUUGUUUUCCAUUAUUUUAUCUUGUUUGUAACUCUAUGAAAUAUAUAUAUAUAUAUUUUUUGCCAUUUAACUGUUGUAUGUUACUGUGUCUGUAUCUAUAGAAGAAAAAAAUGUUUGUUUUUGGUUCUCUGUGUGAUACCAAUUAACAAUUUAACACUAGCUUUACCUGUCAAAUUCUGCUAGGUCUUCUCUGAAAACUGUUGUUUAAAAAUGAUAUUGCUUGGUAAUAGUGCAAUUUCUACCCUCCCCACCCCCAACCUCGUUUCUUUGUAACUCUGCCAGCCCUUCCCCAAUGGUUUUGUUUGUUCUGUUUUGAGCUACAAUCAUCCUCCCUCUGUGGGGCAGUGACUGUCAGUGUUUCACUGUGCCAUGCCUUGACCCACGAGUGUAUUUUGGCAACAAUAAGGUAAGGUUGGGUAGAAUAGCUUCUGCCCAUCAGUAUUCCUCAGAGGCGGCUUGGGAUGGGCCCAACCCGGAAGUGCGUUAAUGAACGAGUUCCUCUCCAGCCGCACCACCCACCCACACACACACAUAUGUGUGUGUGUGUGUGUGUGUAUAUAUAUAUAUUCAUCAAAGAAAAAAUUCUCAGCACUAACCCAGAAAUAGUGAAGCAGUCAGUGGUGGUGAAAACCAGAAGGCAGACAAGUGGCCGUGGUCUGUAGCCAUUUCCAAGGCAUAUGUUUACUACCGUGCUCAAUUGCUUAGACUGAUCUCAUUCGGGGAGUUCACUCCCGUCUGCUGUUGGAGUGAGUCGUUGAGUUGUAGACCAUCUCAACUCAACUUUGAAAGUUAGUUCUUCUAUUGGCACUUCUUUUUUUUUUAAUUUUUUUAAGUUAUUGGAUGAAUUUCUCCCCCUUAGUUCCUUCAUGAUGUGGCUUGGUGCUAGAUACUAUUUGGCACAACGGCACCAAGAUACCUGUCAGAAUUGGAGUUAUUUCAUACAUCCUUUCUUUAUCCCUCCCUAAAGAAACUUAAGGAACACACACACACACAAACACACACACACUCUUAAUGCAUCUAGGAAGUUUUGUUUUUUGUUUUUGUUUUCUUUUUUUAAUUAAGAGCUAUUUAAAAAGAUGAAUGUGGCCAAAGUUUUACACAAUUGAAAGAGAGCAAAGUAAAACAGACGGCACGCGUUGAAACCUGAGUUUAUCAGGCGUGGCAGGAAGUUGCAGGAAAGGAGCAGUGACCCAAGCCAGUGCACUUGAUGUUCAUGGACAUAUAUUUUUUUUUAAAUAAUAAAUUAAAACAUUUUAAAUAGAAGCAUAAAACUGAGUUGGUUGUUUGUUGGCGCUGAGAUACUGCCCACUGUGAAACAAAGCUUUGACUAGGUUGUUUUGUUUUGUUUGUUUACUUUCUUCAGGGGGGAGGGGGGCAAGUUUGAGUAGGAAAGAAAGCAUAAAUGAACGUGACCCUGAGGUAAAGAGGUAUAUGAACAGCCUUUGCAAUGUACAAAAAAAACAAAAACAAAAAAACAAAAAAAAAAACCCCAACAACAUUAAAAAAACAAAAAAAAAAACAAAUAAAAACAAAAAACAAAAACAAAAAAAAAUAGAGCAAGUGAAACCAAAAAUGAUGUUCUUGGUGUUUUUCUAUAAUGUAGUCUUGUUAGCUUUUUUUUUGUUACUGUAACGAUGCUGAUCUCGAACUGUACCAAAAUACAUGGAGACUAACAGAACCGCAAGGGACUUUCAAACUGAAAAAGAAAUUUGUC
RNAcentral lists this long non-coding RNA (2746 nucleotides) under Mus musculus (house mouse). RNAcentral's name for it is "long non-coding RNA chr8:108958760-108961506". Lineage: Eukaryota; Metazoa; Chordata; Mammalia; Rodentia; Muridae. The record is from RNAcentral.